Long non-coding RNA from Branchiostoma belcheri (Belcher's lancelet), 953 nucleotides. RefSeq lists it as uncharacterized. The record is from RefSeq and is a predicted model, not a curated record. The transcript has 2 exons. NCBI's taxonomy places the organism in Eukaryota, Metazoa, Chordata, Leptocardii, Amphioxiformes, Branchiostomatidae.
CGGGCAAGGGAGCGGGUUCCUGGGUCCCAUCUGCGACAUGAAAAUAACGUGUGAUUUUUUUAGAGUAAUUACUACUUUUAGCAGUGCUUCCAUGCUGAGACGAAACCGUAUUUUCCUUCUGUCACGAUCCAGCGGGCGCGUGCGUGGAUUUGGAAGGACCAAAAGAGAAAAGCGCGUCUACCUACAGCGUGAUUGCAUACAAAUCCCCGGUCAAGAAAUAAUAGUCAUUACAUUGUCUUUUCCAAAAACGGGCAUAGAAACAUAAGCACGGUGUGAUUACCGUCUUUGAGCGCGUGAGGAGCUCUGAUUUUUCAGAUAGAAGCGCUGAUACCUGAUUUUCCGUGGUAAUUCCUGGGGCAAUAAAGAAGCCAGCUGUGAAGCGAACAAAACGUUAGGAAAAUGUCUCGGGUCCUUCGAACUUGCACGUAGAUCCUGUCAAGGUCAGGCACAAGGUCAUCGACUCAGGCGGUCAGCAAGCGUUUCUACACGUCUGCAACUGCGGUCAAGUACACACCAGGUCUCCUCGGGAAAACGGCUAGACGAUACAGUCAUCCUACACAGACAUCCCCAUUCUUUUCUGAUGACACAAAAGUGUUAUGAAAGUUGUCACUGAUAGUUGGAGUAAAAGGCGUUAUUUUAUCAGUGAUAUGAUGAACAAGUUUACACCCUACUAUCUAGUGUUUAGAAGUCGGUCUCCUUUCAUUUUCUCGGAGCGCCAGCUUUAAGUACAUGUGAACUUUGUUCGAAUCUUGUUGACGUGAAUGUCGGCCUUGGUUUACGCCUGAAAAGUCCUUGUAGAUAUUUCAACUGUAAAUGUUUCUGACCUCUUGUCACUACUGUUCUGCACACAAUGGCUGUUUACAUCUGGUGGUCCCGUGCUGACUGUGACAUGACUACUAUUGUUGCUCAAACCUGACUACACCACGUACAAAAUAAACACACGUCUCGCAGUG